CCCAUAUUCAGGGGCUAACUCUGCCAGCUGUGUGGUGAGAUGGAGCUGCCACCGCUUGAUCUGCUCAUCUGUAAUGAGGGAGUCUUAGAAGCUUCGCUCACCACAGUGAACUGUUGUAGGACUUAAAGGGAAGUGUCUACAAGGCACGCUGGGAACUGAAAAGGCCUUUCUGUAGAAUGAAACAACAUUUUCAAAACUCAUGAUUUAAGCCACAUUUCAGUUCUUGGCAGAUGGAACAGACCAACAGAUUCAUGUGCCGGACGCUUGGGAUGAAGCCACAAAUCCUGUAUGUUUCUCUAUUUCAUAGAAGAAGCUUUUCCAUUACAAAGAGGGAAGGAGAUGCGUAUAUGUGUGAAGACAACAAGACAAAACAUGGUGGGUCGAAUGAGACCUGAAGGCAGGACCUAGGAGCUUUGCCUACAGUUGGUUCUGCUUGUGUCUACAUUUGAAACUAACAAGGAGUUAGAUAGAGUUAGCCCCCA
Molecule: long non-coding RNA, 482 nt
Filed under: Mus caroli (Ryukyu mouse)
Lineage: Eukaryota; Metazoa; Chordata; Mammalia; Rodentia; Muridae
Description: lncRNA (MGP_CAROLIEiJ_G0004584.1)
Source: RNAcentral